GGAAACCGGUGAAAGUCCGGUGCGGUCGCGCCACUGUGAACUGCCCCCGCAGGGGACAGUGAGUCAGGACGC
Molecule: non-coding RNA, 72 nt
Filed under: Actinoplanes awajinensis
Lineage: Bacteria; Bacillati; Actinomycetota; Actinomycetes; Micromonosporales; Micromonosporaceae
Also listed under: 1 other name
Source: RNAcentral